UACGUCGGGGGCGAGCGUUGUCCGGAUUUAUUGGGCGUAAAGCGCGGGCAGGCGGCCCGGUAAGUCGGCCGUGAAAGCGCCGGGCUCAACUCGGCGAGGACGGGCGAGACUGCAGGGCUGGAGCAAGGCAGAGGGCGGUGGAAUUCCGGGUGUAGUGGUGGAAUGCGUAGAGCUCCGGAGGAACACCAGUGGCGAAGGCGGCCGCCUGGGCCUUUGCUGACGCUGAGCCGCGAAAGCGUGGGGAGCGAGCCGG
This 253-nucleotide ribosomal RNA is filed under the name uncultured bacterium. Its description in RNAcentral is "partial 16S ribosomal RNA". It matches the Rfam family "Bacterial small subunit ribosomal RNA", at positions 524 to 776 of the family's 1533-position model. The record is from RNAcentral.